AUUGAACGCUGGCGGCAGGCCUAACACAUGCAAGUCGAGCGGAUGAAGGGUGCUUGCUCCUGGAUUCAGCGGCGGACGGGUGAGUAAUGCCUAGGAAUCUGCCUGGCUGUGGUGGAUAACGUCCGGAAACGGGCGCUAAUACCGCAUACGUCCAGAGGGAGAAAGUGUGGGAUCUUCGGACCUUACGCUAUCAGAUGAGCCUAGGUCGGAUUAGCUAGUUGGUGGGGUAAAGGCCUACCAAGGCGACGAUCCGUAACUGGUCUGAGAGGAUGAUCAGUCACACUGGAACUGAGACACGGUCCAGACUCCUACGGGAGGCAGCAGUGGGGAAUAUUGGACAAUGGGCGAAAGCCUGAUCCAGCCAUGCCGCGUGUGUGAAGAAGGUCUUCGGAUUGUAAAGCACUUUAAGUUGGGAGGAAGGGCAGUAAGUUAAUACCUUGCUGUUUUGACGUUACCAACAGAAUAAGCACCGGCUAACUUCGUG
RNAcentral lists this ribosomal RNA (484 nucleotides) under uncultured bacterium. Its description in RNAcentral is "partial 16S ribosomal RNA". It matches the Rfam family "Bacterial small subunit ribosomal RNA", at positions 30 to 507 of the family's 1533-position model. The record is from RNAcentral.